GCUUUCGUGGGAAAGUUGGUUAAUCCGUGUGCCUGACACGCACAAGAUCCCCAGUUCGAACCUGGGCGAAAGCA
Non-coding RNA from Guillardia theta CCMP2712, 74 nucleotides. Lineage: Eukaryota; Cryptophyceae; Pyrenomonadales; Geminigeraceae. The record is from the annotation of a RefSeq genome assembly.